UUGGCAACUUUGGUUGUGGACUACUCCCCGGGUACUUUGCCAGCAUUAAUGUUCUAAGAGCAUCAUUAUGGGAGAUGUAGUCCAUAACAUCUGGAUUGCUGAAGGUUGCUUACCCUGAUCUAGAAGCUUCACAAUACGGUUCAGUUCAAGCAUUACCUACAGUCAUGGGAGAAUGCAGUGAUGGCCCUGGAAAAUGUUGAAGAAAAGUUAGUCCAGUUCUAUUUCCUGCGCAAUAUGAGUUCUGAACUGUAGGCGCCACAUUCCAAAAGAAUAUUGUUCUGAA
Non-coding RNA from Pelobates cultripes (western spadefoot toad), 283 nucleotides. NCBI's taxonomy places the organism in Eukaryota, Metazoa, Chordata, Amphibia, Anura, Pelobatidae. The record is from the annotation of a GenBank genome assembly.